AGAUUGAACGCUGGCGGCAUGCCUUACACAUGCAAGUCGAACGCGAAAGGGGGGCAACCCCCGAGUAGAGUGGCGAACGGGUGAGUAAUACAUCGGAACGUAUCCAGUAGCGGGGGGAUAACCUCUCGAAAGAGAGGCUAAUACCGCAUACGACCUACGGGUGAAAGAGGGGGAUCGCAAGACCUCUCACUAUUGGAGCGGCCGAUGUCGGAUUAGCUA
RNAcentral lists this ribosomal RNA (219 nucleotides) under uncultured soil bacterium. RNAcentral's name for it is "partial 16S ribosomal RNA". It matches the Rfam family "Bacterial small subunit ribosomal RNA", at positions 26 to 247 of the family's 1533-position model. The record is from RNAcentral.